Molecule: long non-coding RNA, 1316 nt
Filed under: Struthio camelus australis
Lineage: Eukaryota; Metazoa; Chordata; Aves; Struthioniformes; Struthionidae
Description: lncRNA (ENSSCUG00000008566.1)
Source: RNAcentral
CUAAGCAGUUGUGACAAGCAAGAGAAGCACUUUUAGUCCUGUUGUUCUGAUAUUAAAGCAGAACAGAUAGACUUGUCUGCAAUCAUGCAAGAAGCCAAGGUUGGAACAGCACCUUGAAAUUAGGUUGCUGCUUGUCAGAUCUGAAUUUUCAUCACAAGCCUGCGUAUAUGUAUUUGUCUUUGAGCAUACUAUAUAUAAUAUUGCACCAGACCUGGAUAAUAUUGCAGCGGAUCUGGGGUAUAUAAUAUUGCACUAGACUUGGAUGAAUGCUCGCUCACAGAGUUGUUUCUGCAAAGCAAUUCCAAGCGCACUGAAUGCAGACCUCUCUGAAUACUUUGCAGUCAGCUCUGCGCAGCGUGUUAUCAAAGCGUGGAAUUCACUGCCAUAAGAGGAUAUUGAGUCAAAGGCUGUAGCUGAGUUUCCUGAAGGGCUGAAAACAGGCUGAUUAGUUUAGGCAAAGGGACCGCCUUUCUGCUUUUGGUUUUGGUUUGAACAGGGUCUAUGGCUGCUGGGUCCAAUGGUGGGUGCUGAUGCUGAGCUGUCAAAUAGGCAAUUUUCCAGUUGCAGCUUUCACUGGGAGAAGAGUCUCUUUCCACUUACUGACUUUUUGAUUGUUUGCCCAGGAUUGGUAGGAAGAGAUUUUUUUCUUGCUCAGAAGAGAAACUUCGUCAGAAGUUUCUCACAUGACUUUUGGCAUAUGUGUUGUUCGCUAAAAAGAAAGCACGUACUAGGCUAGACAGGAAAUCUGUUCCUUUGCACUUUCAUUUCUAACAGGGCUAGUGAACUCGGCAUGCAGAGUAGCUGUGAUGAUGGUACAGCUAGGGCUACAGAAUUUUAAAAUCAUUUGUACUCUAGCAAAGAAAAAUACGGGGAUAAAUAAUGGGAAGGAAAGACAAGACAGAAACCACCCAUGAGGUCAGGUGUUUAGGUAUUUUUGGACUGCUAACACAGUGAUCUUAAGUGAAGAUAAUGUAUUAUGCAGUGAAAAGCUAAUGAGACCAGGUCUGUUAAACAGGGACUUGGUGUUACUUGCUUUGGAGUGCUUCAAAUUACACAGGCCUGGGUUGUAUUUGAUCACCUCUCCUGCUUUGACAAAUCACAGGCACGCCACUCAGAUCCCACUGCGAUGUGCUCGGGAGACUCCGUCGGUGCAACCCCAUCCAUCAGUGAGCACACGGCAGGCUGGGACGGAUGGUGACAGCACGGUGCCCGCGACCCCCGCUCCGUGCCAUGCCGUGCCGCGCCGCGGGGGCGCCGGACACUGCAAGCGCAGCCGCCGCCCGCCGCGGAUGCAGCAGCGAGCUCCGUGCGGGGAC